ACUCUACGACAGCGGAUAUCUCGGCUCGCAUCGAUGAAGAACGUGGCGAAAUCGAUACCUGGUGUGAAUUGCAGAAUCCCGUGAACCAUCGAGUCUUUGAACGCAAGUUGCGCCCGAGGCCAUCCGGCUAAGGGCACGCCUGCCUGGGCAUCACGCUUUCGACGCUUCGUCGUUGCUCCCUCAAGGGGACGGGGGUGAACGCGGAGGAUGGCCCCCCGUGCCGGAAGGUGCGGUUGGCCGAAGAGCGGGCCGUCGAUGGUUGUCGAACACGAUGCGUGGUGGAUGCCUUGUGCGAGCCGUACGUCGUGCCUUUUCGGACCGGGGCGAGGCCUCGAGGACCCAAGUCGUGGUGCGAUCGAUGCCCACGGACCGCGACCCCAGUCGAGGUGGGGCUACCCGCUGAGUUUAAAGCAUAUAAAUAAGCGGAGGAGAAGAAACUUUCAAAGAUUCCCUUAGUAGCAAUGGCGGCGAACCGGGAUCAGCCCGGCUUGAGAAUCGGGCGGCUGCGUCGUCUGAAUUGUAGUCUGGAGAAGCGUCCUGGUGUGGACCGAGCCAAGUCCCCUGGAAAGAAGCGCCGGGAGAAAGUGAAACCCUCGUCCGGCUCGGACCCUGUCGCACCACAGGCGCUGUCGGCGAGUCGGGUUGUUUGGGAAUGCAGCCCCAAUCGGGCGGUAAAUUCCGUCAAAAGCUAAAUAUGGGCGAGACCGAUAGCGAACAAAUACCGCGAGGAAAGAUGAAAAGGACUUUGAAAAAAAAGUCAAAAAGUACUUGAAAUUGCUUGGAGGAAGCGGAUGGGGGCGGCAAUGCACCUCGGUCCGGAUCUGGAACGGCGGUUAGCCGGUCCGCCCUUUCGGCUUUCGAGUGCGGAUCGAUCUGGGCUGCAUCGGCGGUCAGCCGGACGGAUCGUUAGAUUCGAGGGAUACCGUCGAUGCGGUCGAGGACAUGACACGCCGCGCCAUCGGCGUGCCCGCCAAACCGGUGCGACCUAGGCAUCGGCGAUGGGCUCCCCAUCCGACCGUCUUGAAACGGGACCAAAAGUCCGACAUGCGUCGCGGUCGGCGGAGUGCGGAAACCGGAAGGCACAAAGGAAGCUAGCGGGCGGGAACCCUCUCGAGGGUUGCACCUUGCGUGGCCGACCCGAUCUUCUGUGAAGGGUUCGAGUUGGAGCAUGCAUGUCGGGACCCGAAAGAUGGUGAACUAUGCUGGCGAGCGAAGCCGAGAGAAACUCUGGUGGAGGCCCGGCGAUACUAACGUGCAAAUCGUUCGUUUGACUUGGGUAUAGGGGCGAAAGACUAAUCGAACCAUCUAGUAGCUGGUUCCCUCAGUUUCCCUCGGGAUAGCUGGAGCCCACGUGCAAGUUCUAUCGGGUAAAGCCAAUGAUUAGAGGCAUCGGGAGCAUAGCGCCCUCGACCUAUUCUCAAACUUUAAAUAGGUAGGGCCGGUAGCGACUGCCGUUGAGCAGCGUCGUGGAAUCGAGAAAACCAAGUGGGCCAUUUUUGGUAAAGCAAAGCUGGCGAUCUUGGGGAUGAACGGAAGCGGGGUUCUGAUGCCCAACUCUUGGCUAACCAAGACACCACAAAGGGUGUUGGUCGAUUAAGACAACAGGGCGGUGGUCAUGGAAGUCGAAAUCCUCUAAGGGUGUGUAACAACUCACCUGCCGAAUCAACUAGCCCCGAAAAUGGAUGGCGCUGAAGCGCCCGACCCACCCCGCCAUCGGGCGGCGCCAAACCCGAUGAGUAGGAGGCGGCGGUCGCCCAUAAAACCAAGUAGCGAGCGGGGCCGAACAACCGUCGGUGCAGAUCUUGGUGGUAGUAGCAAAUAUUCAAAUGAGAACUUUGAAGGCCGAAGGGGAAAGGUUCCAUGUGAAUGGCACUUGCACAUGGGUUAGCCAAUCCUAAGGGGCGGGGGAAGCCCGUCCAGAAGAAAUCUCUCAGCCGAGCUCGAAAGGGAAUCGGGUUAAAAUUCCCGAGCGAGGCAGCGGCCCAGUUGGCAACGUUAGGAAGUCGGGAGGCGUCGGCGGGGAACUCCGGGGAAGAGUUAUCUUUUCUGCUUAACGGCCCCCCCACCACAGAAAUGGCUCAGCCGGAGGUAGGGUCCAACAAUCGGAAGAAGCCGCCGUCAUUGUCAUCGGUCGUCCCGCCGGCCCCGGCCCGAAAAUCUGGAGGAUCGAGUGCAUACGCCCGAUCGUACUCAUAACCGCAUCAAGUCUCCAAGGUGAACAGCCUCUGGCCCAUGGAACAAUGUAGGCAAGGGAAAUUCGGCAAAAGCGGAUUAAGUAACUUUGGGAAAAGGAUUGACUCGAGGGCUGGGCACGGGGUCCCGGCCCCGAACCCGUCGGCUGUCGGCGGACUGCUCGAGCUGCUCUGCGGCGAAGCGGCGGGUCGCCAGCGUGCCCGGCCGGGGGGAAGGGACGGGAAUAGCCCCCUCGGGGGCCUUCCCGGCGUCGAACAACCGACUCAGAACUGAAAUGCGGACAAGGGGAAUCCGACUGUUUAAUUAAAACAAAAGCAUUGCGAUGGUCCCCGCGGAUGCUCCGCGCAAUGUGAUUUCUGCCCAGUGCUCUGAAUGUCAAAGUGAAGAAAUUCAACCAAAAGCGGGUAAACGGCGGGGAGUAACUAUGACUCUCUUAAGGUAGCCAAAUGCCUGCGUCAUCUAAUUAGUGGCGCGCAUGAAUGGAUUAACGAGAUUCCCACUGUCCCUGUCUACUAUCCAACGAAACCACAGCCAAGGGAGCGGGCUUGGCAGAAUCAGCGGGGAAAGAAGACCCUGUUGAGCUUGACUCUAGUCCGACUUUGUGAAAUGACUUGAGAGGUGUAGGAUAAGUGGGAGCUGGUUUGGCCGCGGAAGUGAAAUACCACUACUUUUAGCGUUAUUUUACUUAUUCCGUGAGUCGGGCCGGGGCCCGGCCCCUCCUUUUGGACCCAAGGCCAGCCCUAGCGAACCGAUCCGGCGGGAAGAGACAUUGUCGGUGGGGAGUUUGGCUGGGGCGGCACAUCUGUUAAAAGAUAACACAGGUGUCCUAAGAUGAGCUCAACGAGAACAGAAAUCUCGUGUGGAACAAAAGGGUAAAAGCUUCGUUUGAUUCUGAUUUCCAUGCGAAUCUGAACCGUGAAAGCGUGGCCUAUCGAUCCUUUAGACCUUGAAUUUGAAGCUAGAGGUGUCAGAAAAAGUUACCACAGGGAUAACUGGCUUGUGGCAGCCGCGUUCAUAGCGGCGU
This 3217-nucleotide ribosomal RNA is filed under the name Musa schizocarpa. RNAcentral describes it as "eukaryotic LSU rRNA". The stretch from base 373 to 3217 matches the Rfam family "Eukaryotic large subunit ribosomal RNA", at positions 1 to 2863 of the family's 3401-position model. Lineage: Eukaryota; Viridiplantae; Streptophyta; Magnoliopsida; Zingiberales; Musaceae. The record is from RNAcentral.